This 1160-nucleotide long non-coding RNA is filed under the name Sinocyclocheilus grahami. RNAcentral describes it as "lncRNA (ENSSGRG00000030130.1)". The record is from RNAcentral. Lineage: Eukaryota; Metazoa; Chordata; Actinopteri; Cypriniformes; Cyprinidae.
AUCACUUUCUUCUUCCACACAGCACACAUCUAACAGUUUCCAGCUCUAUUCUGAAAGGGAAGAUGUUAGUCCUUAUGCCAUUUUUAAUUAUUCUCUUGACAACAGACUAUAGCAAAGGUGAAAUAGAGCUGCGUGCUUUUAAACACCAGACAGUGAAUUGCAAUGAGAGGACUGUCUUGCAAUGCGGAGUCAGCUCAUCAGUGCCGUUGAACUUUGUAAAAGCGUACUGGAAAAAACAAGAUGAUAAAGAUUUUGAAUGUGUUUCAACAUCCAGCAAUAACCCUUCAGGAUUUGAGUGCAACUACACAGGGGGAGCACUGACAUUAACCAUCUCAAAUCCCACACCAGCAAACAUGGGCACAUACUUUUGUUGUAUAAGGACAGACUUUGGACAUGGAAAAGAACAAAUCGACGUGUCUAUAGGACAAUGCACCGGAGAAUUCUCCAACCAGAUGGCUGGACCCAAAGAAAUGCAGUGCAGCUUCAAUGGUGUGUACCCAGAGGCCAUAAUAAACUGGUAUCAUUAUGACAAGAACCUGACUUCCAACUCUACAAGCACAAGCCUGGUGAACUCUGACGGAACGUUCAACGUCACAAGUGUCCUCAACAUCCAGGACAAUCAAAAGAGAUAUAACUGCUCACUGUGGUCACUCAAACACGGACGAUACAGCGAUCAAGAGUUCGAAGUGGCAGAUCAAGCUGAGUCCAGUCCUGUUAGCAGGAUCAGCACACAACAUUGUUUAUCAUGGACUCUUAUCCUUCUUAGCCUGAUGUUUUCAUCGAGAGCCUGUUUGUCUUUAUAAUCUUUACAUACCAACUCUCACAAGACCUGAUGACAAAACCAAAGAUCUGGUGGAGUUUCAUAAAUGGAAUUCACCAGAUAAACUGAUCAUCUAAUCAAUAUAGUGUCAGACCUUUUACCUGCCAUGUGGUAGGUCUGGAUGUAAUUAAAGUCCAGGGGAUCCCUGAAGACAUGGCCACUGGAUAUGGCAGCGAACUGACAUUUGACCCACAACGUCAAGUCAUAACUUGAUUUAUUUAAGAAAACGCUGACGUGAAAAGCCCAAACUAUUUCAAACAGCAUUUUGAAAACGUAUUUGUUCCCAUUCUUGAUGCAGAAUAAUGUAUGAUCUCAAAUUAAUUGAAAGACUACACUGACU